Molecule: non-coding RNA, 96 nt
Organism: Chelonoidis abingdonii (Abingdon island giant tortoise)
Lineage: Eukaryota; Metazoa; Chordata; Testudines; Testudinidae
Source: RefSeq, a predicted model, not a curated record
AGGAAGACUUUGCCCUCCAAAAACCUUGCAGAAUAUAAAGUAAUUCAAAUAUAGCAGCUCUCAUAACCACCUCACUGAAAAUGGUUUGUGUGGAGU